Molecule: transfer RNA, 72 nt
Organism: Loxodonta africana (African savanna elephant)
Lineage: Eukaryota; Metazoa; Chordata; Mammalia; Proboscidea; Elephantidae
Rfam family: tRNA
About the family: Transfer RNA (tRNA) molecules are approximately 80 nucleotides in length. Their secondary structure includes four short double-helical elements and three loops (D, anti-codon, and T loops).
Source: Rfam
GGGGGUAUAGCUCAGUGGUAGAGCGCGUGCUUCGCAUGCACGAAGUCCUGGGUUCGAUCCCCAGUGCCUCCA